UACGUAGGGGGCAAGCGUUAUCCGGAAUUACUGGGUGUAAAGGGAGCGUAGACGGUAAUGUAAGUCUGGAGUGAAAGGCGGGGGCCCAACCCCCGGACUGCUCUGGAAACUAUGUUACUAGAGUGCAGGAGAGGUAAGCGGAAUUCCUAGUGUAGCGGUGAAAUGCGUAGAUAUUAGGAGGAACCCCGGUGGCGAAGGCGGCUUACUGGACUGUAACUGACGUUGAGGCUCGAAAGCGUGGGGAGCAAACAGG
This 253-nucleotide ribosomal RNA is filed under the name uncultured bacterium. Its description in RNAcentral is "partial 16S ribosomal RNA". It matches the Rfam family "Bacterial small subunit ribosomal RNA", at positions 524 to 776 of the family's 1533-position model. The record is from RNAcentral.